RNAcentral lists this ribosomal RNA (253 nucleotides) under uncultured bacterium. RNAcentral describes it as "partial 16S ribosomal RNA". It matches the Rfam family "Bacterial small subunit ribosomal RNA", at positions 524 to 776 of the family's 1533-position model. The record is from RNAcentral.
UACGGAGGAUCCAAGCGUUAUCCGGAAUCAUUGGGUUUAAAGGGUCCGUAGGCGGCCCGGUAAGUCAGUGGUGAAAUCUCCCCGCUCAACGGGGAAACGGCCAUUGAUACUGCCGGGCUUGAAUUACCAGGAAGUAACUAGAAUAUGUAGUGUAGCGGUGAAAUGCUUAGAGAUUACAUGGAAUACCAAUUGCGAAGGCAGGUUACUACUGGUAUAUUGACGCUGAUGGACGAAAGCGUGGGUAGCGAACAGG